GGUCUCAAAUCAAGCAAGAGAACCCGCUGAACUUAAGCAUAUCAAUAAGCGGAGGAAAAGAAACCAACUGGGAUUCCCUUAGUAACGGCGAGUGAAGCGGGAAAAGCUCAAUUUUGAAAUCUCACGGUCACGCCGUGCGAAUUGUAGUUUGAAGGCCCACGUUCGGUGACAGGCUUCGUCAAAGUCCGUUGGAACACGGCGCCAGAGAGGGUGAGAGCCCCGUGAGACGUUGCUCAAGUUGCCAUGUGACGCGGUGCCGAAGAGUCGGAUAGUUUGGGAAUGCUGUCCAAAGCGGGUGGUAAACACCAUCUAAGGCUAAAUAUCGACGAGAGACCGAUAGCGAACAAGUACCGUGAGGGAAAGGUGAAAAGUACUUUGAAAAGAGAGUUAAACAGCGCGUGAAAUUGCCAAAAGGGAAGCGCUUGGAAUCAG
Molecule: ribosomal RNA, 432 nt
Filed under: uncultured fungus
Lineage: Eukaryota; Fungi
Description: eukaryotic LSU rRNA
Rfam family: Eukaryotic large subunit ribosomal RNA
Source: RNAcentral